Molecule: transfer RNA, 69 nt
Filed under: Paroedura picta
Lineage: Eukaryota; Metazoa; Chordata; Lepidosauria; Squamata; Gekkonidae
Description: tRNA-Phe
Source: RNAcentral
GUUACUGUAGCUUAACACACUUAAAGCCUGACCCUGAAGCUGUCAAGAUGGACGCACGUUCCAGAAACA